This 407-nucleotide ribosomal RNA is filed under the name Verrucomicrobiota bacterium. RNAcentral's name for it is "Verrucomicrobia bacterium partial 16S ribosomal RNA". It matches the Rfam family "Bacterial small subunit ribosomal RNA", at positions 355 to 776 of the family's 1533-position model. The record is from RNAcentral. Lineage: Bacteria; Pseudomonadati; Verrucomicrobiota.
UGGGGAAUAUUGGACAAUGGAGGAAACUCUGAUCCAGCAAUUCUGUGUGUGUGAAGAAGGUUUUAGGACUGUAAAACACUUUUAGUAGGGAAGAAAAAUAUGACGGUACCUACAGAAGAAGCAACGGCUAAAUACGUGCCAGCAGCCGCGGUAAUACGUAUGUUGCGAGCGUUAUCCGGAAUUAUUGGGCUUAAAGGGCAUCUAGGCGGUAAGACAAGUUGAAGGUGAAAACCUGUGGCUCAACCAUAGGCUUGCCUACAAAACUGUUGAACUAGAGUACUGGAAAGGUGGGUGGAACUACACGAGUAGAGGUGAAAUUCGUAGAUAUGUGUAGGAAUGCCGAUGAUGAAGAUAACUCACUGGACAGAAACUGACGCUGAAGUGCGAAAGCUAGGGGAGCAAACAGG